Molecule: ribosomal RNA, 490 nt
Filed under: uncultured bacterium
Lineage: Bacteria
Description: partial 16S ribosomal RNA
Rfam family: Bacterial small subunit ribosomal RNA
Source: RNAcentral
AUUGAACGCUGGCGGCAGGCCUAACACAUGCAAGUCGAACGGUAACAGGAAGCAGCUUGCUGCUUUGCUGACGAGUGGCGGACGGGUGAGUAAUGUCUGGGAAACUGCCUGAUGGAGGGGGAUAACUACUGGAAACGGUAGCUAAUACCGCAUAACGUCGCAAGACCAAAGAGGGGGACCUUCGGGCCUCUUGCCAUCGGAUGUGCCCAGAUGGGAUUAGCUAGUAGGUGGGGUAACGACUCACCUAGGCGACGAUCCCUAGCUGGUCUGAGAGGAUGACCAGCCACACUGGAACUGAGACACGGUCCAGACUCCUACGGGAGGCAGCAGUGGGGAAUAUUGCACAAUGGGCGCAAGCCUGAUGCAGCCAUGCCGCGUGUAUGAAGAAGGCCUUCGGGUUGUAAAGUACUUUCAGCGGGGAGGAAGGGAGUAAAGUUAAUACCUUUGCUCAUUGACGUUACCCGCAGAAGAAGCACCGGCUAACUCCGUG